GCCCAAGUGGUGGAAUUGGUAGACACGCUAUCUUGAGGGGGUAGUGGCGUAAGCCGUGCCGGUUCAAGUCCGGCCUUGGGCA
Molecule: transfer RNA, 82 nt
Filed under: gamma proteobacterium IMCC1989
Lineage: Bacteria; Pseudomonadati; Pseudomonadota; Gammaproteobacteria; Alteromonadales
Also listed under: 1 other name
Rfam family: tRNA
About the family: Transfer RNA (tRNA) molecules are approximately 80 nucleotides in length. Their secondary structure includes four short double-helical elements and three loops (D, anti-codon, and T loops).
Source: Rfam by way of RNAcentral